RNAcentral lists this ribosomal RNA (253 nucleotides) under uncultured bacterium. RNAcentral describes it as "partial 16S ribosomal RNA". It matches the Rfam family "Bacterial small subunit ribosomal RNA", at positions 524 to 776 of the family's 1533-position model. The record is from RNAcentral.
UACAGAGGUCUCAAGCGUUGUUCGGAUUCAUUGGGCGUAAAGGGUGCGUAGGCGGCGCGGUAAGUCGGGUGUGAAAUCUCGGAGCUUAACUCCGAAACUGCAUUCGAUACUGCCGUGCUUGAGGACUGGAGAGGAGACUGGAAUUUACGGUGUAACGGUGAAAUGCGUAGAUAUCGUAAGGAAGACCAGUGGCGAAGGCGGGUCUCUGGACAGUAACUGACGCUGAGGAGCGAAAGCGUGGGGAGCGAACAGG